This 496-nucleotide ribosomal RNA is filed under the name uncultured bacterium. RNAcentral describes it as "partial 16S ribosomal RNA". It matches the Rfam family "Bacterial small subunit ribosomal RNA", at positions 28 to 506 of the family's 1533-position model. The record is from RNAcentral.
GAUGAACGCUGGCGGUGUGCCUAAUACAUGCAAGUCGAGCGAACAGACGAGGAGCUUACUCCUCUGACGUUAGCGGCGGACGGGUGAGUAACACGUGGAUAACCUACCUAUAAGACUGGGAUAACUUCGGGAAACCGGAGCUAAUACCGGAUAACAUGUUGAACCGCAUGGUUCAACAGUGAAAGACGGUCUUGCUGUCACUUAUAGAUGGAUCCGCGUCGCAUUAGCUAGUUGGUAAGGUAACGGCUUACCAAGGCAACGAUGCGUAGCCGACCUGAGAGGGUGAUCGGCCACACUGGAACUGAGACACGGUCCAGACUCCUACGGGAGGCAGCAGUAGGGAAUCUUCCGCAAUGGGCGAAAGCCUGACGGAGCAACGCCGCGUGAGUGAAGAAGGUCUUCGGAUCGUAAAACUCUGUUAUUAGGGAAGAACAAAUGUGUAAGUAACUAUGCACGUCUUGACGGUACCUAAGCAGAAAGCCACGGCUAACUACGU